Molecule: non-coding RNA, 6203 nt
Organism: Misgurnus anguillicaudatus (oriental weatherfish)
Lineage: Eukaryota; Metazoa; Chordata; Actinopteri; Cypriniformes; Cobitidae
Source: RefSeq, a predicted model, not a curated record
GAGUGAUAAAGGUCUUUGGUUGCUUACGGAACUCCAUGAAUGCAGUCAGAAACUGGCAGUGACAGCCGGGUUUAACUUAUCAGCUUAUCACGAAGUUAAGACACGUCUCGCUGAAUUAGUGUACGUCAUGAUCAUCUAUACUAGAUAGGUAAAGGUGUGUGUGUGCGUGUGGCUCCCAGGUUGCGCUAGAGGACUAUGGAGCCCGAUGUCAUCCGCCUGUACUCUUCUUCUCCACCUCCACUAGAUGAGGGUGGAGAGGAGGAAGAGGAGGAUGAGUUUGGUGAGUUUGGCAGUUUCGGUGGUGUAGUAUCCAGUAUCAGUUUCUCAGAGGUUGACACACCUAUAACAUUUAACCAAUCAAAUGCACUAGAGGAUUCGCCACCCGACCUAUACAUCACAUUUGUGCAGAAUAGUACUUUAUCAGAAAAGGGUGUAUGGCCUAAGGAAAAAAAUCUUUUAAAGGAAUUAAAACAGCCUUGUGUUUUAUCAAACCAAGAAUCAUUAAUCAAGGAGACUGAAGUCCAAAGCUUUGAUGACAAUGAUCCUGCAGGGAUUGUCAUGAAUGGUGUUGCAUCCAACGACCUCCAGAGGGAGCUCUCUAUCGAACACAGUGUUUCUAGCAGUGAUCAACACUGCUUCUCAAUAUCUCCUGAUAUUAAACACAGCAGCACAGGUAAACAUAUAGACAACACAUGUGAUGGUCAAAUUAAUGGCUACAGCGAGUCUUGCACACGUAUAGAGCGUGACUCUGAAUCUAGUAUAAGCUCAGGACUGAAUGUCAAACUAUCUGAUUUUGAGUACAAUGAAAAACAGAACCAGCAGAUCUUUAACAGUCACUCAUGCCAUGAAGAUUUAUCAGAACCAGAAGAAACACAAACAAGACGAAAGCAUUGUGGUGACUCGCAGUCAUUUUAUUCCUGUGAAGGAGGUAAGGAUACUCAAAAAGAGGAUAAGGGAACACAAGAGAAAGGGAUCCAAGAUACUCCUGGCCCCUCUAGUAAAGAAAAUGUUGUUGUUUAUAGUAAUGCAUGUUUUUUGGAGGGGUCAAUAGACUCUGAAAUAGCUGAAGUAUUAAUGGUCCAUGAAGUAGACAUGGCUCAUAUCUCUCAAACACAGCUAAGUGGAGAUAAAAGUGAAAUGCAUGAAUCUUCAGGAAACAUGGGGAUGGAGGUAGACGUGGACGAUAAGACCUUUAAUGAAACUCUCGAUGAGGACUUUGGAGACUUUAGAGAUGCAGCUCAGGGUUUCACGGAAUGUAGCCGAACAGAAUCUAUAACCCAGGAAGGAUUUGCUGAUUUUGUCACAGCUAUGUCCAGAUGUUCCACAGAUGAUGAGUUUUGUGACACAGACACCCUUAAGGACUUUCAGGAGGAGGAGGAGCUAGCUAAAGAAGAGGAGGAGUCUGUUGAUUGUGCGGGAGAUGGAGUUUUUUGUUCAGAGUUGCCUCCGAGUGACAGUUUUGCCGACUUUAGUUCAGCUCCGUUUGAUGGUUUGGAGGUGAAAGAGGGUGAGAACUGGGCUACAUUUGGACAGCAGGAAGCUGCAGAAGAGGGUCCGGUUUCAUGGGCAACUUUUGGCAAGGAGCAGAAUCCUUUACAGUGUCAGGAAAAACAAGAUGUUUUGACUUCAGCACCUUGUAGUGACAACCUCAAAAGCUGCAAGAGGGACAGAGAGACUGCUGAAUUCAGCUGCAAAAUACAGAAUCUCCUCAGAAAUGUCUUUCCUUUAAAUGUCAAUUCUGAGGUCAGGCAAGUCACAGAAGUCUCACCCCUCCAAAAUGUUCUGCAGGCCCAGGAUCAAAGUGAUUUAAGUUGCUCCUUUUCUCAAGGGCAUGAUCUGGCCAUGUGGCGUCACUUUCAGGACAUCCACGGUGCACAUGGUCUUAGGUUUAAGUGGGCAGGUUCCCAUAGCAACAUAAUCUUGCUGAAUUGCCUGGGAAUCAGAAAUAUUUUGUUCACUGGUGAGAAGCAGCAGCCACUAAUUGUGCCUAUGUUUGCUGCCGGACUGGGAAUGCUGGAACCCACCAAAGAGUCUGAGAAAUCUCUAGCCUCCCCUGCAUUUUUGCCAUCGGUUCCUGUGGAGAGUGGAAAUAUUUUAUGCACUCAGGUGGUGCCCUCUUUGACCAUUAGUGUUGACGGUACGUCUUUUCGCCGUGCCUCUUUCUCUAGAGCUCAAGAUAAAAUCACUCGCCACUCACGUCAGAAAUCCUACUCCUGAAACUGUCGCUGUUAUCAUCUCUCUCCAAAGCACUUGCUUCCUGUUCACCAAAACUCAUUUCCUCUCUUCUUCUCUCUUACUUCUGUUACACUUGCAGCACUGAAUGUUUCUCCCCUGUGCACACACUGAUUUAAAAAACAUGAACUGUCAUUAGUAGGAUAAGCAGAAAUUACCAUUUUGGUUUCCUCUUUUGCAAACUGUAAAAUGCUACUCAAUCAGGAAAGAGACCAUAUUUUUUAUCUUUGUUUCCCUUUUAUAUGUUUGUAUUCUGGUCUUUCAUGCAUCUCUGUCCUUGUCCCUAUGCACUAUAACAUUUCGGGCUACAGUAUGCUCUUAACACACACACAGAGGCUGAGAAGAUCUACCUCAGAUGAUGAGUAUGCAACUGUGACUAAUUUCCAACAUAUGCAAACUCAAACUAAUAUUACUAUGCCCAUUAUAUACAAAAAUAAGUUUUGUUGUAAAAUAAACUAAAUCAGUCCCUAUGCAUCAGCUACUGUCUCAGGUUUGACUAAAAAAGUGGAAUAUCUGACUUUACUCCUGGUGCUUAGUUCAAGCCAUUAUACAGCUUGAUUAAAGGGCAAAACCACCAUUUCAAGUUUUACUUAUACAUGCUACAGCAGCUGCAAUUUCUUUUUUUUACAUGAAAUUUUAUUUUGGGGGGGAAAUUUAUGUUAUACAGCCUAUGUACAUUUCCAACUUUCCUUUCUAUUCUUAUUCUAUUUUCCCUCUGGUAAACAUUUUCACAUCUUUAGAAACCACUGUGAUUAACAGUGAAAUGUUCAAUAAUGCACUUUUGACUUUAUUGCAAACUGUGAUUUAACUACACAUCAAAAAAAAAAAACAUCCACGAGUUUUUAAUAGCUGCAGACCCUACAUUAACAUAACUGCCUUCAAAUCACCUGCUGGGAGCAUUAUUGCCAUCAGGGUUCCCACAGGUCCUCGAAAUCCUUGAAAGUUUGUGAAUCUGGAGGGAAAAAAUCAAGGCCCUGGGAAGUUAUUGAAAAUAUACAUACAUAGAUACAGGUCAUUGAAAGUGCUUGAAUAUAUUUUAUGCAAGAAGUUUUCUUGUUGGAUUUAAAAUCCGAUAUAUCGGCCUAGAUUUUUUAUUUCUAUUUCAGAAACACGCAUCAAAACUAACAGAUUUCCCUAACAUUAGUUUAACACAAAUAAUAUGAUAAUGCAUUUUAAAAAGAAACUUUUUUUUCUUUUACUGUCUCGUGACCAACUCACCGUGAACUCACUUAACCGUUGUUCUCUCUGCCCAACUCUGGCUGGAUCAGUAGGUUGCAGGAUGUGUGACGCGUUAUACACGAGUGUUGUCAACAGGGAGGUUGUAGAGGGCAACACUCAUGACAUGGUUGAAGGCUGUUUCGUCCUUUUUUUUUUUAUAUGAAUUUAUCAGCCAUUAUGAAUGCCGAUACAGAUAGUUUGGAAAAUGCCUAAUAUCGGCCUGCCGAUAUAUUGGUCGGGCUCUAGAUAAUAUCAUAAAAAUUCUAGGCUUUUUAAGCACACGUGCUAAACUGUUUGCUUUAAAUGCUUAUAUCUUCUGUAUGCAAAUGUUGAUUCAUACCAAAAUGCUUUUUUGCAUAGUUGUGUUUGACACAUGAAAACGUCUCAGGUUGCAUAUGUAACUGUUGUUCCCUUAUAAGGGAAUGAGACCCUGCGUCUCCCUUGCCAUACUUCCUGCGUCCCUAUAAUGCCGUCUUUGGCAAUAUUUCAGAUAGUGAUAUACUUCCUGGCUCCCGCGUCACCCUGUCUUUGUCAUUAAGCCUCACCAUUGGUUGAAUUUGAUACACAUUCAGGCGCACUUACCCCUGGAGGCGUUCCCAAAGUGUCAUCACAGUGACGCAGCACGCGUUCCCUCGAAAGGGAACUGUAACAAUUUAUCUUAAAAAAUAACACGAUGCAACCUUGCUCUCACUUGAAAUGUGACCCCACAUUUAGUCCUUGAAUUUGAGGGUAUUGGAUCUGGAAAGUCCUUGAAAGGUCCCUGAAUUUGAAGUUAACUAUGGUGUGGGAACCCUGUGCCAUUAUUAUGCAUAAUCUAUAGGCCUAAUUAUACACAAUCCACCUGUCAUUUUUACAUCACGCCAGUUUUGCACAUCCAUAACAAAGAGAACUGAAGGCAACAGGCAUUCAUAUCUGUGCUCUCAAAUAAAGAGUGUGUUAUACUCCCAAGUCCCAAAAGUGUGCAAGAUCUAUGACAGCAUAUCUGUGGCAAAAAGAACCCACAGCAUCACUGAUACCUGCACGUGCGAAACAUUUUUAUUGCGAGUGCAUAACAGAUCUUUUCCAUUUCCACGACUGCCAAAAAGAAAUCUAUUUGCGCAAGCUAAAGUAGCAGGAGAGAGUGGAUGCAGCACGAGAGUGUGGGGAUGAUUUUGCAUGUGCUGUUUAAAAGGAGCUCACAAUCUUUAGUUUCCUCACAUGCAGAUCUGUUAUGCUCUCGCAAAAACAAUUUUGUGUGCGCACGGGUAUCGGUUAGGCGCUCGGUUCUUUUUUGGCACAGAUAUGCCAUCAUAACCAUUAUUGUUACUGGUCAAAGGUUCUUUAAGGAAACUACUUUUCCUUACUCACAAUAAGGUUUGCUGAAUGUUAAAGUUCCUUUAUGAAACCAUACAGUCAGACAAUGACCAAUUUUGGAACAUUUAAUUUUAGAGUAUACUGUAAAAAAAUGAUCUGGGUUCAAUACAUGGUAAAAUAUAUUAAUGGCAUUUAUGGCAAAAUGUUGUGGAGCAAAUACAUUUUUUUAACGAAUACAAAUGAGGAAGCAUGUAAUAUUUUGUAGCCAACAAUAUGUUUUGUCUACAAAGCUAUGUUUACAAGUAGGAGGCACGAUACUUGACUGAUAAUUAUAUUGUUAUCUUUUCUUGUAUUGAUUGUACAAAAGUUACAGGCUUAAUGGCAUAAUGACAGUAUUGGAAAUUGUGAAAUGCUCAAUAUUUAUGCUAAUCUUAGGCCAAAGUGUAUAAUGUGUACCCCCCCCCCCCCCUUAAUGUUUACUGCCUGGCCCAAUAUACUUUUAUUGUAAGUGCCUUACUGUACCCGUAAGCUAUGCUUAUUCAAAAAAAGAAAGAAGUGACAAUUAUCCUCUAAUCAAUUACAAUAUGCUGUAUUGAAACCAGAACAUUUUUUAAACCAAAACUGUUACAUUAAAUAAUUUCUGUAUAGAUUUUUUUUCUGAUUGCACCACAUUAUCUAUCUAUCUAUAAUAUUAAUGGAGUUGUGUCUAUAAUUCAGUCUCUGUCUAAAUAAUCUCUGCUAAUAAACUGCAGUAUGACUAUCAUUCUUUUACUUUACAUCUGUUGCUUUAAUAUCUUCUGUUCUCUUUACCUGUCCUGUCACGUCCUGUCAAGUUGCCUGGUACUGAUCUGCAAUUAGUUUUUUGUUACAACACACUUUCUUAAAUAAGUUUAUUUAUUUUUUUUAAGAGCAUCUGCAACAUAUAUCAGCAACUGUAUCUUUCUUCACGUGCUAGUAUGUGUGCAUAUAAUGCUGUUUAUAUAUAAUACUUGACUGAACUAGAGUACUAACAACAAUAACCCUCCCUUUUCUGCUGUCAUUGCGAUGACUCGAGAUGGUGUAAUCUCAGACCUAAAUUUGGAUUAUUUUGGGACUGUGGAUGAAGGUAGCUCAGAUAGUGACAAUGAAACUGCACCACCAGGUUAGACACUCUGGCUGGACAGUUCUGAAUAGAAGUGGCUAGUUUACUUUGAAACCUUUCUUUUCUUUUCACUUCUGCAUGUGAUUGCAAAAUUGAUGUGUCUUUAUGAAAGCUUGACAUACUCUCUUAGUCUGUCAGUGACUUCCUCUCUCUUGGUUUGCUUACAGUAUCUGCCUGUGUGUUGAUCCGGAGUUGUAUGAGCUGACUUCAGCUAAGAUGGAGGCCAAAAGUCCUGGUCAUAGCAUAACAGAUGCAUUUACAAAACUAAUGGAAUCUAUGGAGAAAACAAGAACAACAGCCAGGAGGCCAGAGCAAGAUG